This 799-nucleotide ribosomal RNA is filed under the name Rhodococcus sp. SoD. RNAcentral describes it as "bacterial SSU rRNA". It matches the Rfam family "Bacterial small subunit ribosomal RNA", at positions 28 to 836 of the family's 1533-position model. The record is from RNAcentral. Lineage: Bacteria; Bacillati; Actinomycetota; Actinomycetes; Mycobacteriales; Nocardiaceae.
GACNAACGCUGGCGGCGUGCUUAACACAUGCAAGUCGAACGAUGAAGCCCAGCUUGCUGGGUGGAUUAGUGGCGAACGGGUGAGUAACACGUGGGUGAUCUGCCCUGCACUUCGGGAUAAGCCUGGGAAACUGGGUCUAAUACCGGAUAGGACCUCGGGAUGCAUGUUCCGGGGUGGAAAGGUUUUCCGGUGCAGGAUGGGCCCGCGGCCUAUCAGCUUGUUGGUGGGGUAACGGCCCACCAAGGCGACGACGGGUAGCCGGCCUGAGAGGGCGACCGGCCACACUGGGACUGAGACACGGCCCAGACUCCUACGGGAGGCAGCAGUGGGGAAUAUUGCACAAUGGGCGCAAGCCUGAUGCAGCGACGCCGCGUGAGGGAUGACGGCCUUCGGGUUGUAAACCUCUUUCAGUACCGACGAAGCGCAAGUGACGGUAGGUACAGAAGAAGCACCGGCCAACUACGUGCCAGCAGCCGCGGUAAUACGUAGGGUGCGAGCGUUGUCCGGAAUUACUGGGCGUAAAGAGCUCGUAGGCGGUUUGUCGCGUCGUCUGUGAAAACCCGCAGCUCAACUGCGGGCUUGCAGGCGAUACGGGCAGACUUGAGUACUGCAGGGGAGACUGGAAUUCCUGGUGUAGCGGUGAAAUGCGCAGAUAUCAGGAGGAACACCGGUGGCGAAGGCGGGUCUCUGGGCAGUAACUGACGCUGAGGAGCGAAAGCGUGGGUAGCGAACAGGAUUAGAUACCCUUGGUAGUCCACGCCGUAAACGGNGGGCGCUAGGUGUGGGUUUCCUUNCACNG